GUUAUAUGGUCAAGUGACUAAGCGUACACGGUGGAUGCCUAGGCGACAACAGGCGAAGAAGGACGUAGUAGGCUGCGAUAAGCCUCGGAGAGCUGUCAAACAAGCAUUGACCCGGGGAUAUCCGAAUGGGGCAACCCACCCUUUUAGGGUAUCUUUAACUGAAUACAUAGGUUAAAGAGGCGAACGCGGGGAACUGAAACAUCUAAGUACCCGUAGGAAAAGAAAUCAACCGAGAUUCCCUAAGUAGCGGCGAGCGAAAGGGGAGUAGCCCAAAAGCUGUAAUAACCUUAGCAGAAUUUACUGGAAAGUAGAACCAUAGAGAGUGAUAGUCUCGUAUGCGAAAAGGUUAAUAGAGUAAAAAUGAGUAGGGCGGGACACGAGAAAUCCUGUCUGAAGAUGGGGGGACCAUCCUCCAAGGCUAAAUACUCGUUGUCGACCGAUAGUGAACCAGUACCGUGAGGGAAAGGCGAAAAGAACCCCGGGAGGGGAGUGAAAUAGAACCUGAAACCGUGUACGUACAAGCAGUGGGAGCAGACUUGUUCUGUGACUGCGUACCUUUUGUAUAAUGGGUCAGCGACUUAAUUUUAGUAGCAAGGUUAACCGGAUAGGGGAGCCGUAGGGAAACCGAGUCUGAAUAGGGCGAGAGUUGCUAGGAUUAGACCCGAAACCGGGCGAUCUAUCCAUGGCCAGGGUGAAGGUGCGGUAACACGCGCUGGAGGCCCGAACCCACUUAUGUUGAAAAAUGAGGGGAUGAGCUGUGGAUCGGAGUGAAAGGCUAAUCAAGCCCGGAGAUAGCUGGUUCUCCUCGAAAGCUAUUUAGGUAGCGCCUCAUGUCUCACUUACGGGGGUAGAGCACUGUUUCGGCUAGGGGGCCAUCCCGGCUUACCAACCCGAUGCAAACUCCGAAUACCGUAAAGUGCAAUCAUGGGAGACACACGGCGGGUGCUAACGUCCGUCGUGGAGAGGGAAACAACCCAGACCGCCAGCUAAGGUCCCAAAAUCGAAACUUAGUGGGAAACGAUGUGGGAAGGCAGAGACAGCCAGGAGGUUGGCUUAGAAGCAGCCAUCCUUUAAAGAAAGCGUAAUAGCUCACUGGUCGAGUCGGCCUGCGCGGAAGAUAUAACGGGGCUGAAGUUUCGUACCGAAGCUGCGGAAGCGUGUAUACACGCUUGGUAGAGGAGCGUUCUGUAGGCUGUUGAAGGUGAACCGGGAGGUUUGCUGGAGGUAUCAGAAGUGCGAAUGCUGACAUAAGUAACGACAAUGCGAGUGAAAGUCUCGCACGCCGAAAGCCCAAGGUUUCCUGCGCAACGUUCAUCGGCGCAGGGUUAGUCGGCCCCUAAGGCGAGGCAGAAAUGCGUAGCUGAUGGGAAACAGGUUAAUAUUCCUGUACCGCUUAUUAGUGCGAUGGGGUGACGAAGAAGGCUAGGUCAGCUAACUGUUGGAAUAGUUAGUUUAAGCCUGUAGGUAGAGUACUUAGGCAAAUCCGGGUACUUAAUACUGAGAGGUAAUGACGAAGUUCUACGGAACUGAAGUGAUUGAUGCCCUGCUUCCUGGAAAACCCUCUAAGCUUCAGCUAAUAAGGACCGUACUCCAAACGGACACACGUGGGCGGGGUGAGAAUCCCAAGGCGCUUGAGAGAACUCGGGUGAAGGAACUAGGCAAAAUAGCACCGUAACUUCGGGAGAAGGUGUGCCUGCAUUAAGUGAAGCUUCUAGCAAGUAGAGCUGAAACAGGUUGCAAUAACCAGGUGGCUGCGACUGUUUAUCAAAAACAUAGCACUCUGCAAAAUCGAAAGAUGAAGUAUAGGGUGUGACGCCUGCCCGGUGCCGGAAGGUUAAUUGAUGGGGUUAGCGCAAGCGAAGCUCUUGAUCGAAGCCCCGGUAAACGGCGGCCGUAACUAUAACGGUCCUAAGGUAGCGAAAUUCCUUGUCGGGUAAGUUCCGACCUGCACGAAUGGCGUAACGAUGGCCACACUGUCUCCACCCGAGACUCAGUGAAAUUGAAAUCGCUGUUAAGAUGCAGCGUACCCGCGGCUAGACGGAAAGACCCCGUGAACCUUUACUACAGCUUUGCACUGAAUUUUGAACCUGCUUGUGUAGGAUAGGUGGGAGGCAAUGAAACUAAAACGCCAGUUUUAGCCGAGCCGCCCUUGAAAUACCACCCUGGCAUGUUUGGAGUUCUAACCUCGGGCCGUAAACCGGUUCAGGGACAGUGUAUGGUGGGUAGUUUGACUGGGGCGGUCUCCUCCCAAAGAGUAACGGAGGAGCACGAAGGUACCCUAAGCAUGGUCGGACAUCAUGCGGUUAGUGUAAAGGCACAAGGGUGCUUGACUGUGAGACAGACAAGUCGAACAGGUACGAAAGUAGGUCUUAGUGAUCCGGUGGUUCUGAAUGGAAGGGCCAUCGCUCAACGGAUAAAAGGUACUCCGGGGAUAACAGGCUGAUACCGCCCAAGAGUUCAUAUCGACGGCGGUGUUUGGCACCUCGAUGUCGGCUCAUCACAUCCUGGGGCUGUAGUCGGUCCCAAGGGUAUGGCUGUUCGCCAUUUAAAGUGGUACGCGAGCUGGGUUCAGAACGUCGUGAGACAGUUCGGUCCCUAUCUGCCGUGGGCGUUUGAGAAUUGAGAGGAGCUGCUCCUAGUACGAGAGGACCGGAGUGGACGAACCUCUGGUGUUCCGGUUGUCACGCCAGUGGCACUGCCGGGUAGCUAUGUUCGGACGGGAUAACCGCUGAAAGCAUCUAAGCGGGAAGCCUCCCUCAAGACGAGUUCUCACUGGAGCCUUGAGCUCCCUAAAGGGUCGUUGGAGACUACGACGUUGAUAGGUCGGGUGUGGAAGCGCAGUAAUGUGUGAAGCUAACCGAUACUAAUUGCCCGUGAGGCUUGGCCAUAUAACCCCAAAGGGUUU
RNAcentral lists this ribosomal RNA (2905 nucleotides) under Ectothiorhodospiraceae bacterium BW-2. RNAcentral describes it as "23S ribosomal RNA". It matches the Rfam family "Bacterial large subunit ribosomal RNA". Lineage: Bacteria; Pseudomonadati; Pseudomonadota; Gammaproteobacteria; Chromatiales; Ectothiorhodospiraceae. The record is from RNAcentral.